CUCGCACUCAGUGGACAGCAGAGCGCCCCUGAGCAGCCUCGGUAUCUGCAGAUGCACAAGGCUGGCUGGGGCAGAAGCAGGGGAGGGAGGGGCUCUGAGGAAGGCGCCUGCGUCCCCACAGAUCAAUCACUUGAUGUUUGACAUGACCUGCAAACGUUUUAUUUGCAAAAUACAGAGAGUAGACGACAGGAAGUAGCGGCUUACACCUGUAAUCCCAGCACUUAUGGAGGCCAAGGCGGGAGGAUCCCUUGAGCUCAGGAGUUGGAGACCAGCCUGGACAACAAAGUGAGACCCUGUCUCUACAAAAAAAUACAAAAAUUAGCUGGGUGUGGUGGUGCGCACCUGUGGUCCCAGCUAUUGGAGAGGCUGAGGUGGGAGGAUUGCUUGAGCCUGGGAGGUGGAAGCUGCAGUGAGCUGAGAUAAUGUCACUGCACUCCAGCCUGGGCAACAGAGUGAGACUCUGUCUCAAAAAAAGUUGAGGCCGGGCAUGGUGGCUCACAUAUGUAAUCCCAGCACUUUGGGAGGCCAAAGUGGGCAGACCACCUGGCCAACAUGGUGGAAACCUGUCUCUACUAAAAAUACAAAAAUUAGCCAGGGGUGGUGGCCUGCGCGCCUGUAGUCCCAGUUACUCGGGAGGCUGAGGCAGGAGAAUCACUUGAACCCAGGAGGUGGAGGUUGCAGUGAGCUGAGAUCGCGCCACUGCACUCCGGCCUGGGCGACAGAGCGGGACUCUAUCUCAAAAAAAAAAAAAAAAAACAGUAACAUAAUUGUAGAAAUAAAACCUCACCGAUGAGUUGAAUGACA
RNAcentral lists this long non-coding RNA (804 nucleotides) under Homo sapiens (human). RNAcentral describes it as "HSALNT0383955". Lineage: Eukaryota; Metazoa; Chordata; Mammalia; Primates; Hominidae. The record is from RNAcentral.